UAAAGAAGAGCUUGUCAGAUUAGCCAAGUUGACUGCCUGAUAACCUACAUAGGGUUGUUUGUAUAUCUAUAAUAAGCAUGCAAAUUAACCACAACUCAGAGAUGGCUAGGAGCAGGCAAGUCAUCCUUGGCUAUCAAACAAGACUCUUAUCU
This is a non-coding RNA of Ricinus communis (castor bean), 152 nucleotides long. Lineage: Eukaryota; Viridiplantae; Streptophyta; Magnoliopsida; Malpighiales; Euphorbiaceae. The record is from Rfam.